This 254-nucleotide ribosomal RNA is filed under the name uncultured bacterium. Its description in RNAcentral is "partial 16S ribosomal RNA". It matches the Rfam family "Bacterial small subunit ribosomal RNA", at positions 524 to 776 of the family's 1533-position model. The record is from RNAcentral.
UACGUAGGUGGCAAGCGUUGUCCGGAUUUAUUGGGUUUAAAGGGUGCGUAGGCGGUCUAUUAAGUCAGUGCUGAAAUAUCCCGGCUUAACCGGGAGGGUGGCAUUGAUACUGAUGGACUUGAGUGCAGUCGAGGUAGGCGGAAUUGACGGUGUAGCGGUGAAAUGCUUAGAUAUCGUCAAGAACACCGAUAGUGAAGACAGCUUACUAGACUGUAACUGACGCUGAGGCACGAAAAGUGUGGGGAUCAAACAGG